This 588-nucleotide ribosomal RNA is filed under the name uncultured Verrucomicrobiota bacterium. RNAcentral's name for it is "bacterial SSU rRNA". It matches the Rfam family "Bacterial small subunit ribosomal RNA", at positions 338 to 916 of the family's 1533-position model. The record is from RNAcentral. Lineage: Bacteria; Pseudomonadati; Verrucomicrobiota.
CCUACGGGAGGCAGCAGUCGAGAAUCAUUCACAAUGGGCGAAAGCCUGAUGGUGCGACGCCGCGUGGAGGACGAAGGCCCUAGGGUCGUAAACUCCUGUCAUCAGGGAGUAAGGUGUUCACCAGUAACUGGGUGGGCAAUUGAUAGUACCUGAAGAGGAAGGGACGGCUAACUUCGUGCCAGCAGCCGCGGUAAUACGAAGGUCCCGAGCGUUGUUCGGAUUUACUGGGCGUAAAGAGUCUGUAGGCUGUAAAGUAAGUCAGGUGUGAAAUCCCGGGGCUCAACCCCGGAACUGCACCCGAUACUGCUUUACUGGAGUAUUGGAGGGGAAUCUGGAAUUCUCGGUGUAGCAGUGAAAUGCGUAGAUAUCGAGAGGAACACUAGUGGCGAAGGCGAGAUUCUGGACAAUUACUGACGCUGAGAGACGAAGGCCAGGGUAGCGAAAAGGAUUAGAUACCCUUGUAGUCCUGGCAGUAAACGGUGCACGCUUGGUGUAGGAGGAUUCGACCCCUUCUGUGCCGGAGCUAACGCGUUAAGCGUGCCGCCUGGGGAGUACGGUCGCAAGAUUAAAACUCAAAGGAAUUGACGG